UACGGGGGGGGCAAGCGUUGUUCGGAAUUACUGGGCGUAAAGGGCUCGUAGGCGGCCAACUAAGUCAGACGUGAAAUCCCUCGGCUCAACCGAGGAACUGCGUCUGAUACUGGAAGGCUUGAAUCCGGGAGAGGGAUGUGGAAUUCCAGGUGUAGCGGUGAAAUGCGUAGAUAUCUGGAGGAACACCGGUGGCGAAGGCGGCAUCCUGGACCGGUAUUGACGCUGAGGCGCGAAAGCGUGGGGAGCGAACAGG
Molecule: ribosomal RNA, 253 nt
Filed under: uncultured bacterium
Lineage: Bacteria
Description: partial 16S ribosomal RNA
Rfam family: Bacterial small subunit ribosomal RNA
Source: RNAcentral